GUUCCGGAAUGGGAAUUUGUUUGUAAGUGGAGUAAUACGCAACGAUAUUUUUGUCUCAUUGAAAUAAAAGCGACCCUCGUUUCCCCAAACUCUUCUCUCGUCCAACUGAUUCCUUAAACUGCAUAAUUUACUGUCGGCAACAUUGGAAACGAUACGGAAAUAGAGUUUGAAAAAUCGAUGGUGAAGUGGAAAAUUUGUCGCGUUCUACGUUGGCGUUUUCAAGCCAGCCUUAUUCACCGUAGUAUUUAAGAUAUAAAUCUUGAAUUGAUAGAGCCGAGGGUUGCCAGGGGGCGACGCAAAGGAGGCGAGAGGUACGGGUGAUCGAAUCACCGCAUAAGGUUAUAUCGUUCUUACCAAUCUCAGCAACACGCCACACUUGCCUGAUAUUCAUUUGAGGGAGAGAUGUACAUCUCCGGCGGUUUAAAACACUGAUGAACGACCGAAAGUGCGAGCGGCAUUUCUAUUUUCUCUCCUGUCUCAUUUCUCGCGAGUCGCCCACGAUGAGGACGAUUUUAUGAGCGAAAGCAGAUAGAGCUUCUAUAUAGAUACGGAGUAUGGGUUACGAGGACUCCCGCUGUGGGGAUCCCGUAUUUAGAGCCCCGAACUUCGGCCCGACAUUGCUAUCGGUUUGGCGGCAUGCUCGUGGUCACAGCACGCGACUCCGUUGCUUUCACGACGCCACACACCCAGCACAACCACCACCACCAAUCUCGAUCACAAUAAAUUCACAUUAAACUAUCUGACCGAAGCCAGCAACAGCGGAGGAGAAUCCGACGCGAUUCUUAACAUCAUCCUGUGGGUCGGCUGUACCAGGGUAACCGUAACGCGCGAAAGAAUUCGUUGGCGAUUCCAUUUUUUCCUGACUGACAAGCUUUAGAUACGAAAUCCCACCGGGACGAACGAAUAUCCGAUUCACUCGUUCUCCGUUGUGAAAUUACUUAUCCAACGACACUUCACCAGUCUCCAAAAAAAUUAUUUUAAAAGACAAUCAGGCCUUUUCGUGUCUAAUCUCUCUUGCAGUUAUCGGCAAGCAAGACCUUCAAAAUCAAAUUAAUUUCUAUCAAUUUUAUAAUAUCAAUAACAAUCUUAAACAUUCGGCUCGAUAUCAAUGUUUCUUUCACUGCGUGAUUCGUUAAUCGUAUUCCAUUCCGAAUACAAACAACGAUACGGACAUUUCUGGGAUGUAAUUAUUUCGAUGCAAAACUCGUUAAGAUCGACGAGUCUUCACUCAAAUUCGUUAAUUCGUAAUGAAUUUGUCAUCAGAUUCACAACUAUAAUUGUUUCGACUCAGCAAUAAGUCACGGGUCGGCGUGAUACGAGGAGACUAUGCGAGAACGGACAUCGAAUGGGCUGGCCUGGAGAAAUUUGGAGUCACGUAUAUUUAACGUGCGCUUACAUGGUUACAACAGUGAGUACGGCUGUGGAAAUAGGCUGUGGCGCAUUAAUUUCUAGUAAUUAUCAGAGGUGUAACUCACUCAGGGAGGGUCCUGGGUCGCGUCCGGGGUCGGCCGCUGCGUGUUAACGCCGUUGUUAUGCCCCAUUAUAUUAUGUCCCACGCAGCCGGCUGUGUCUACGUUAAUGCCAAACCCGAGUUAAAUGGAGGGUGAAUUAUGAGAAAUAGAAAAGUUAGAGGUGGAGUGAAGAAACCCAACCGUUCCAGGGCGUUACUAAUCGCAAUGGGAAUUGAUACAAUAUCGUUGGAUCUCCCUGCAAACCCCCCUCGAACCUCCAAUCAACGCUUCCCACGCGCACUGUCUACUCAGACAGUCCCCCACCCAAUACUAAUUUAUUUAUUGUGGACUUAUCUUUCGGAAGGUACUGAUACGACUUAAAAUUAUGGAGCACCUACCAUGAGGUGCGUGCUCUCCCUCUGCGAAAAAGGCCCAGUGGCACGGGCAAGAUAAAGAUAUUUAUUGCUUUGUGAUGAAACAUAUUCGAGAAGCUUGAACCACGGCUGAGUCAGUUACCACAAUAUACUUCAAAUGGGUACAGAAAAUUAUGACAAAUAAAUGUAUUUUUAAAUAACAAAACGAACGUUUUGAAAUGAGAUUUCAUUCAACCGAUGAUCAAAGUGAUUUUCAGAUCAUCUGCAAAGAUUCUCCAAAGGCAGCUUCGAGACUUUGAAUUUUCCUGAAUCUUACAUGAAUAAAUGUUUAGCUGGGUCGCCACCGAUAGAACCGAACGGAUAUACUUCGCUCGUCGGAGUCUAACACGACAAACAAAAACAUAGCAAGCAUAAAAGACAAAAGAAGUGGGGGGGAGGCGCAUCUCGGCAACAGCGAUAGUGAAUUUUUCAGCGAGGAGAAAAAGGGUGCGUGAUAAAUGAAAAAAUGGCGAAAAAGUACAAGAGAAAGAAUUGGUAGUGCGUUGAAACUGCUGGAAUGACACCGGUGCGAGUUUGUAACGUGUGGAUACAUGUGUAGCGAGAGAGAACGGGGGCCGGGAGGCGCGGAGCGGAACUCCCGGACUUGUUCCCGCAAAAAUUGCCAUGAACUACCUCAAACCAUGUACGCCCAUGACUGGGAGAGAACGCGGUCUGCCUCGCAAUAAUUUCGCGAACGAAAUGUCAACCGCGAAGCACCCAUUGUCGAGUGUUGCGACGCGACGAAAUAUCACCCAGUAAAUCAAGGUGGUCAGCGGCAGUGAAUGAGAGAGAAAAGUGAGAGGAGAGAACACACAGAGUGAAAAGAGAAAGAGAAUCGGCUUCCCGGCCACUCGAGCGAUGCAGCGUCCGCACACUUCCGUUUUUAAUCACUGACCUGUCGUGCCCAGAAUGCGCGAAACACAUACAGCGUGUUUGUGCAGCACGACAUUUUUUCGCAGCCUGUAUAUAGGAAAAACAAUGAACACGCGAAGAUUAUACGAGAAGCUUUAUUGAGAUUAAUCAAAUAUUCAUAAAUGCUUAAAAAAAGCAAGUGUCAAAGUCGUUACACUUUGAAUUAAAAAAUUCCACUUAUUCUUCAUCCAGAGGUCAAGAAUUUUCGUAACCAUUUGAUGUUUUUUCACGUCCUAGACUUUCAUCCGGAACGUGAAGAAUCGGAGUUUACGAAUGGGAAACCAGUAAUCUUCUCAAAACCGAAGAAACGAGAAAGAAUCUUCAUACCUUCAUUUAAUCCAGAGAAAUUGUACUACACAAGUUGCAUAUAAACGUAUUGCUUAAUCCUUCAAAGGUGUAGCAUGUACCGGCAAGCUGUUACCGGAACAAUUAGUUUAUGGUGUGAAAAUCUGGCUCAGGGAUUAUCGUGGGACCAGUGGGUGCUGUGUGUUCACAGUCGAGUUACAUAAUCGGUUUGAAAGCCCAUGGCGAAUCGUGGAAUCAGGGUGAUCGGGUGAUGUCGCUACGAUACUCUGCAGUCGUCAGUUAAUAUGUUUUACACCGUGUCAAUACACGGCAGUUUAGAAACUUUCAUUUCAAAACUACUGAGAAGAAAAUUCCAUAAAAACGAUUAAAAAUCGCAGUUUCUUUAACAAUCCUCAAAUAUUAUAGUGCAGAAAGAUUUUUCUAUUACUUGCACACUACACAGUAAUGAUACUAAAAUUCAUUUCCUAACUAAAGUUCUUCAUCGACAUGAGUUAUUUGAAGAAAUGUAAUUUCUCAUAAAAUUAUUCAUUUUACGUUUAAAAUAGUCAGUGAAAAGUUGAUGCAGAGCUUCUCUCAUGUAUACCGAUGAGUAAAACAUCUUGUAUGCUGUCCUCCGUAGAUGUCAUGUCUGCUUCGACUUAUUUCCCUUCUUAUAUUCGAGUGCCUACAUGUAUGUGUGUGUAAGAGAAACAUCAUAGUGGCUUAAUGUCUCGGAACGAACGCCAUAUUAGCAUGUCCGCGUCCAAUCGUAGCCCACGUGGCAGUGAGGAAACCGUGGCGAAUCCGGUGGGGCCUAUGACAUUGUCAUUAUUUCAGUGGCAGAAGAAGCAUGCGCGCGAUUCACCACGGCACGGGCACGGACGUUAUACUGCUAACAAUGGUGGGAAGAAACAAGGUUCGUAAAAUGAAGGGUGGAAACGAGACGGAAAACGGGGAUGAGAUUGUACGAGGAAGUGUAUCGGGUAUCGGGCGGAGGAGGAGAGAUGUCCUAUGUAUUGUGAAUCUUGAAACUACUGAAAAACCUGAAGAGGGCGAAAAGGCAGUGGAGAGGGGGCGGAGGGAGGGGGGG
This 4151-nucleotide long non-coding RNA is filed under the name Venturia canescens. RNAcentral's name for it is "uncharacterized LOC122410075, transcript variant X1". Lineage: Eukaryota; Metazoa; Arthropoda; Insecta; Hymenoptera; Ichneumonidae. The record is from RNAcentral.